Molecule: long non-coding RNA, 2110 nt
Filed under: Mytilus galloprovincialis (Mediterranean mussel)
Lineage: Eukaryota; Metazoa; Mollusca; Bivalvia; Mytilida; Mytilidae
Source: RNAcentral
UUUAUUUACAUGUACUUUUUAGACUUAUCAGCGCACAAAUAUAUUUUUGUUUUAAAGUAAAAAAACAGGUCCUUGGAAUGAUACUGAUAAAGAGGGAUUGCACAACUAUUUUUUUUUCUUUCUUAAAUCAAUGAUUUUUUUCUUUCUAUAAAUCGAGACAGAAAAUAACCAAAAAAAAGCAACCUCUUUCAAUACAAUUUCAAUGGAUUCCUUACUCAGUCAUUUCAGUGCUUAUGUUCAUGUUAUAUUUCAGUACACACAUGUUGCAUGUCACAUCAAUGUUAUUUCUUGUUUACAGGUGAAAAAUGUCAACAUUUUAUACAUUGUAACAACAUUUCAUCCAUUCAUGUCAGUACAUCAUGCAUACAAAUAUGAUACAAUGCAGGUUAUGCAGUUCAAAAGUAAUCCUGUUUCAAAUGUUGUCAAUAUAUAUUUUAGUAAUUCAUUAUUGAAAGAUAUUGUAAAAGAAAAUACUAGAAAGUUUUCAAAUCAUACAUGAAAUGAAAUCCACUUGACAAAAAGUCAUGCAAAUGCAAUUUUAAAUGUUGAAGGGCAUAUGGUAGAUAAUAUAAAUGUUAGGUGUUGGUGGUAAGCAUAACAAAAAUGGUGGAAAUGUACCCAAGGUCAUCAAUUUUGCUAAGUUAAUUUGAAAGCAUUUGCAAAGAAAAUUUACAGAAAGAAUUUUUUAGCACAUAAAAUCAACAGCAGGGCCAGUGGCAUAAAAUUAAAGGCAAAUGAUGAGACUUUUUACUUCUGAUAUCAUUAAUGAGUUCUAAUUUAUGGCAGUAAUUUGGAUAACAUUUUGAAGUUCGGCAAGAAAGACUGCACAAUAACGAUUCAUUAGGAAUAACUGCAUUUCAGUUUAGCUCUAGAAAACAUAAAUUAGAUCUUCACCAUUAACAAAUAUAUUUUUAGCAUAAAAAUGAGCAAAUGGACCUUAUUUAUUUUCGAUUGCAGUCCAUUGUUUACAUUUCAAGAAAAUUUCGAGAAAAAUUAACAGUUACGCAUUUGUUGUAAACAUUAUAUACUGAUUUCUAAUACAUGAAAAAUGAAAAAUGGAAACUGAAAAAUAUAGAAAAUGUAAUUCAUAUAGGUAUAUUUUUCUUUGCAUAUUUCGGGAGAGCAAAACAAAGUUGAAUUUGAGUCUAAAUUUCAAGAAACUAUCAAGGGUAGAUCCCUUUUGUAUCAUAUGCCCUUAAAUAUAUAUAUUUUUUUUUAUCAAAAGCAGUGAAAAUUAAAAAAAAAAAAGAAUCUAUUUCUAGUAACAAUGCAUUCUUAGAAUGAAUUUGUAGAUAGCCAUAAUAUUUAAUACUGUUUUUAUAAUGAAUUCUACUUCCCUAAAUAAAUUAUUUUUUCUACUUUUCAAAACAAAUUGAAUCAACAAAGGAAAGCAACUAAGAAUAUUUUUAUAUCUACCAUAGCUAUUUUAGACUUAUAAAUUCCUAUAAUAUCUUCAAACCAAAAUGAUAAACCAACUGGUAAAAACCUUUAUGAAAGCAUAAUACAAUGAAAAUGUCUAUGGAGAGGAUAUGUGUUAUCUUUUUUUCAAUACAUACAUAAUAAUAGUAACGGCAAUACCUUCUAUUUAUCAUGUUUAUUACAGGAUUUUUUCUUAUUGUCAAUUUUUGACAUAAUUUAUAAAAUCAACUUAAUCUGAUGAAAAAGAUUUAAAGAAAAAGGCAUAUUAUGACAAGAAAUAAGUCAAUCUAUAAUUUACAUAUCUUAUGUAGAAAGGGAUUUUUUCAGAUGUCUUAUCACCUUCUUAUAGAAGUUAUGUACUUUUUGAUAUUUUACACAAUGCAAAUAACUGAAUAUAUUCUAUUAUUGUGCUUUUUGAUUAAAUAAUGUUAUAUAACAGUUUUCACUUGUCUCUGUUUUGUUUGAUUGGAUGGUCCCUUUUCACAAGAACAUGUAAACUGUAUUACAGUGUAAAUUCAGAAAUUAUUGUGUGCAUUUAUUAUUGCAAUUUUUGAAGACUGGAAAAGUAUUAACCAUUGGGAUUUCCGGAAAACCUGCACACAGAUAAAUGUAUUAGAUAUCAAUAUACAAAUUCUCAUUAUUGCCAUACUCACCAACUUGCAAUUUUUACGUAAAAAUAAAAACCUUUCAA